This 884-nucleotide long non-coding RNA is filed under the name Fukomys damarensis (Damara mole-rat). Its description in RNAcentral is "lncRNA (ENSFDAG00000027976.1)". The record is from RNAcentral. Lineage: Eukaryota; Metazoa; Chordata; Mammalia; Rodentia; Bathyergidae.
GCAGACAGGCCGACAGACAGACAGACCUUUGCAUGCUGGGCCCUCCGCGCUCCAGCUCUACCCCUGCUGAUGCUGGAGGACGCUGCCUGGGGAGGCAGCAGGUGACCUCUGGGCCCCUCCCUGUCCCUGGCUGCAGUGCCUCUGAGUAUCCGCCCGCAGGAGGCUGCCGGCCCUCAGCUCCUUCAAGUUCAUCCACAGCAGAAGCAGUGACCAAGGCAGGCCCUGGAAGCCCGGCCACUGGGCUCAAGACCUCUCCACAUUCCCAGUCUGCAGGUGACAAGGACAUCCUGGGCUUCUGCUCCUCCGACCAUGGCUCCCCUUCUAGACAGAGCAGGCAAGGAUGCUGCGUUUCCCAGUGUCUCUGUGAAAAGACACAUUCCUGUGUAUUCCCUUCCAUGCAUUCACGAGGAGAGGUGUGAAGAUGGGAAGUCGGGGCGAGGUGGCUCCAGGGUCCUGGAUUCCUCACGGCACUAGGCUUUAUAAUGAAACAAAGUCUUAAUGCUGCAGGGCAGGGUGACAGAACCUGCCUUUUCGGGGCUCUCCUGCAGCCUGCAUGCAUGCUUGGGCUGUGCUCUGAAGUCUCCUGGACAUUAUCCAGCUGCUUGCUGCAGGCAGUGCUGCACCACAGGCACUGCUACUGAGCGCUCCCUGCCUCUAUCACCCGCUGCUCCAAGCCUUGGCUGGUGGGAUCCCUCGGACACAAAUAGGUCACUGUUUAAACAGGGUGUCUGAGAGUCAAGGGGAUGCCAAAAAUGAUGAAUGCUUAUAAUUGAAAAAGAAUUGUUCACUGGCUAACAAACCGAUUACAUGACAUGGCUGGAUCUAUAAAACGCUUUUAUCAAUACACGACUUUCAAAGUAAAAUUCAGGGUAAAAUAACAUGCA